GUGGGGAAUCUUAGACAAUGGGCGCAAGCCUGAUCUAGCCAUGCCGCGUGAGCGAUGAAGGCCUUAGGGUUGUAAAGCUCUUUCAGGGGGGAAGAUAAUGACGGUACCCCCAGAAGAAGCCCCGGCUAACUCCGUGCCAGCAGCCGCGGUAAUACGGAGGGGGCUAGCGUUGUUCGGAAUUACUGGGCGUAAAGCGCACGUAGGCGGAUCAGAAAGUCAGAGGUGAAAUCCCAGGGCUCAACCUUGGAACUGCCUUUGAAACUCCUGAUCUUGAGGUCGAGAGAGGUGAGUGGAAUUCCGAGUGUAGAGGUGAAAUUCGUAGAUAUUCGGAGGAACACCAGUGGCGAAGGCGGCUCACUGGCUCGAUACUGACGCUGAGGUGCGAAAGCGUGGGGAGCAAACAGGAUUAGAAACCCCUGUAGUCC
RNAcentral lists this ribosomal RNA (425 nucleotides) under uncultured bacterium. RNAcentral describes it as "bacterial SSU rRNA". It matches the Rfam family "Bacterial small subunit ribosomal RNA", at positions 354 to 796 of the family's 1533-position model. The record is from RNAcentral.